UGGACAUGUGGAGUAAAGAAGAGUUGGCUGUUGGUUCAAAGGCAGGUCUCAUGAGGCCUCUAAGGACAAGGUUCAAAUUCCAGGCUAGUUUCGUGCAAUUGGAAUGAAGGAGGAUCCAGGCUGUCAGAUGAAGUUUCUCCAGUUGUGGAUGGAGGAUGCAGCCCUCACUCAGACUGGGAGAGAAGGUCCGGUAUCAUCGGGAGAGUUAUUGGAGGGCAGAUCGACAUGCGAAGCAGACUUAGGUCUGAAUUAUUACAUGGGCAUGGAGAGGAAAGAGCCUUAACAUUCACCCACAAUUUCUUCAUGUCCAUAUUUCGACUAAGAGGCAGGCAAAGAUGUCCAAUUUAUGUGCUACAAGCCUCUUCCUUUUCUGUAGGAACU
Mauremys reevesii (Reeves's turtle) is the source of this 381-nucleotide long non-coding RNA. RefSeq lists it as uncharacterized. The record is from RefSeq and is a predicted model, not a curated record. The transcript is spliced from 3 exons. Lineage: Eukaryota; Metazoa; Chordata; Testudines; Geoemydidae.